RNAcentral lists this ribosomal RNA (253 nucleotides) under uncultured bacterium. RNAcentral describes it as "partial 16S ribosomal RNA". It matches the Rfam family "Bacterial small subunit ribosomal RNA", at positions 524 to 776 of the family's 1533-position model. The record is from RNAcentral.
UACGGAGGAUGCAAGCGUUAUCCGGAAUGAUUGGGCGUAAAGCGUCCGCAGGUGGCUAUGUAAGUCUGCUGUUAAAGAGUGAGGCUCAACCUCAUAAGAGCAGUGGAAACUACAUGGCUAGAGUGCGUUCGGGGCAGAGGGAAUUCCUGGUGUAGCGGUGGAAUGCGUAGAUAUCAGGAAGAACACCGGUGGCGAAAGCGCUCUGCUAGGCCGCAACUGACACUGAGGGACGAAAGCUAGGGGAGCGAAUGGG